UACGGGGGGGGCAAGCGUUGUUCGGAAUUACUGGGCGUAAAGGGCUCGUAGGUGGUCAACUAAGUCGGACGUGAAAUCCCUCGGCUUAACCGGGGAACUGCGUCCGAUACUGGAUGACUUGAGUUCGGGAGAGGUGAGUGGAACUGCGAGUGUAGAGGUGAAAUUCGUAGAUAUUCGCAAGAACACCAGUGGCGAAGGCGGCUCACUGGCCCGGUACUGACGCUGAGGUGCGAAAGCGUGGGGAGCAAACAGG
This 253-nucleotide ribosomal RNA is filed under the name uncultured bacterium. RNAcentral's name for it is "partial 16S ribosomal RNA". It matches the Rfam family "Bacterial small subunit ribosomal RNA", at positions 524 to 776 of the family's 1533-position model. The record is from RNAcentral.